Molecule: ribosomal RNA, 510 nt
Filed under: uncultured bacterium
Lineage: Bacteria
Description: partial 16S ribosomal RNA
Rfam family: Bacterial small subunit ribosomal RNA
Source: RNAcentral
GACGAACGCUGGCGGCGUGCUUAACACAUGCAAGUCGAACGAAGAGCGAUGGAAGCUUGCUUCUAUCAAUCUUAGUGGCGAACGGGUGAGUAACGCGUAAUCAACCUGCCCUUCAGAGGGGGACAACAGUUGGAAACGACUGCUAAUACCGCAUACGAUCUAAACUCGGCAUCGAGGAUAGAUGAAAGGUGGCCUCUACAUGUAAGCUAUCACUGAAGGAGGGGAUUGCGUCUGAUUGGCUAGUUGGAGGGGUAACGGCCCACCAAGGCGAUGAUCAGUAGCCGGUCUGAGAGGGUGAACGACCACAUUGGGACUGGGACACGGCCCAGACUCCUACGGGAGGCAGCAGUGGGGAAUCUUUCGCAAUGGACGAAAGUCUGACGGAGCAACGCCGCGGGAGUGAUGACGGCCUUCGGGUUGUAAAGGUCUGUUUAUCGGGACGAAAGGCCUUCUUGCGAAUAGUGAGAAGGAUUGACGGUACCGGAAGAGAAAGCCACGGCUAACUACGUG